CGCACCUUGCGCUCCUUGGAAUUCCGAGGAGCAUGCCUGUUUGAGUGUCAGUAAAUUCUCAACUCCUUCAGCUUUUUGUAGUUGAAGUGAGCUUGGAUAUGGAGGUUUUGCGGGUUCAAUCUAAUUGAAUCGGCUCCUCUGAAAUACAUUAGCGGAACCGUUUGCGAUCCGUCACAGGUGUGAUAAUUAUCUACGCCUAGUGGGUUGCUCUCUGUCUUGUUCAGCUGCCAACCGUCCCAGUCAUGGGACAACUUCAUUACUGAACUUUUGACCUCAAAUCAGGUAGGACUACCCGCUGAACUUAA
This 305-nucleotide unclassified non-coding RNA is filed under the name Leucocoprinus fragilissimus. RNAcentral's name for it is "partial contains 5.8S ribosomal RNA, internal transcribed spacer 2, and large subunit ribosomal RNA". Lineage: Eukaryota; Fungi; Basidiomycota; Agaricomycetes; Agaricales; Agaricaceae. The record is from RNAcentral.